GUUCCUGCCAAUAAGAGAACUCGAGCAAGCAACAGCAAUGGAGGUCCAAUGCCACCAGCCAAAGCUGGGCGUUUGACGAAUGCGUAUGUAUCAUCUUUCCCUGCUGCUCCUACAUUUGUUAGGUCUCCUUCACACGGGCAAUACCCAGCUGCUCUUCCACCAUACCCUUCCCCACCCCACAUGUAUGGCAGCAGAAGUCCCCCAGCAAAUCCUUAUGCUGCUUAUUCGCCCGAGCCUGCACCAGCUAUUGCAGGGUCUUACC
Molecule: long non-coding RNA, 262 nt
Filed under: Phaseolus vulgaris (common bean)
Lineage: Eukaryota; Viridiplantae; Streptophyta; Magnoliopsida; Fabales; Fabaceae
Description: long non-coding RNA (PVUL_LNC002011)
Source: RNAcentral